GACGAACGCUGGCGGCGUGCCUAAUACAUGCAAGUUGAGCGCUGAAGGCUGGUACUUGUUCCAACUGGAUGAGCAGCGAACGGGUGAGUAACGCGUGGGCAAUCUGCAUGUGAGCGGGGGACAACAUUUGGAAACGAAUGCUAAUACCGCAUAAAAACUUUAAACACAAGUUUUAAGUUUGAAAGAUGCAAUUGCAUCACUCAAAGAAGAUCCCGCGUUGUAUUAGCUAGUUGGCGAGGUAAAGGCUCACCAACGCGAGGAUACAUAGCCGACCUGAGAGGGUGAUCGGCCACAUUGGGACUGAGACACGGCCCAAACUCCUUCUGGUGGCAGCAGUAGGGGAUCUUCGGCAAUGGACGAAAGUCUGACCGAGCAACGCCGCGUGAGUGAAGAAGGUUUUCGGAUCGUAAAACUCUGUUCGUAGGGAAGAACGUUGGUGAGAGUGGAAAGCUCAUCAAGUGACGGUAACUACCCAGAAAGGGACGGCUAACUACGUG
This 497-nucleotide ribosomal RNA is filed under the name uncultured bacterium. RNAcentral's name for it is "partial 16S ribosomal RNA". It matches the Rfam family "Bacterial small subunit ribosomal RNA", at positions 28 to 507 of the family's 1533-position model. The record is from RNAcentral.